This 371-nucleotide ribosomal RNA is filed under the name uncultured organism. RNAcentral's name for it is "partial 16S ribosomal RNA". It matches the Rfam family "Bacterial small subunit ribosomal RNA", at positions 527 to 896 of the family's 1533-position model. The record is from RNAcentral.
GAAGGUGGCAAGCGUUGUUCGGAUUCACUGGGCGUACAGGGAGCGUAGGCGGUUGGGUAGGCCCUCCGUGAAAUCUCCGGGCCUAACCCGGAAAGUGCAGAGGGGACUGCUCGGCUUGAGGACGGGAGAGGAGCGCGGAAUUCCCGGUGUAGCGGUGAAAUGCGUAGAGAUCGGGAGGAAGGCCGGUGGCGAAGGCGGCGCUCUGGAACGUUUCUGACGCUGAGGCUCGAAAGCGUGGGGAGCAAACAGGAUUAGAUACCCUGGGUAGUCCACGCCUUAAACUAUGGAUACUAAGUGUCGGCGGGUUACCCGCCGGUGCCCGCAGCUAACGCAGUAAGUACUCCCGCCUGGGAAGUACGGCCGCAAGGUUG